AACACUGUUAACCUGCGGUACCUGCGGAGGGAUCAUUAUUGAAUAUUCUUGAUGGGUUGUAGCUGGCUCUUUGGAGCAUGUGCACGCCUGUCUUGACUUUAUUCAUCCACCUGUGCACCUUUUGUAGUCUUGGGGGUCAGAGCAAGUCGACUUGUCGGAUCCGAUCCGGAUGUGAGGAUUGCUGAGUGCGGAAGCAUGCGGCUCUCUUCAAAAUGACUUGCAAAAGCCCUUGAGUACUAU
This 240-nucleotide unclassified non-coding RNA is filed under the name soil metagenome. Its description in RNAcentral is "partial contains 5.8S ribosomal RNA, internal transcribed spacer 2, and large subunit ribosomal RNA". The record is from RNAcentral.